RNAcentral lists this ribosomal RNA (253 nucleotides) under uncultured bacterium. Its description in RNAcentral is "partial 16S ribosomal RNA". It matches the Rfam family "Bacterial small subunit ribosomal RNA", at positions 524 to 776 of the family's 1533-position model. The record is from RNAcentral.
UACGAAGGGGGCUAGCGUUGCUCGGAAUGACUGGGCGUAAAGGGCGCGUAGGCGGUUUGUACAGUCAGGUGUGAAAUUCCCGGGCUCAACCUGGGGGCUGCACUUGAUACGUAUGGACUGGAGUGGGGAAGAGGGUCGUGGAAUUCCCAGUGUAGAGGUGAAAUUCGUAGAUAUUGGGAAGAACACCGGUGGCGAAGGCGGCCAACUGGACGAAUACUGACGCUGAGACACGAAAGCGUGGGGAGCGAACAGG